Molecule: ribosomal RNA, 405 nt
Filed under: uncultured bacterium
Lineage: Bacteria
Description: partial 16S ribosomal RNA
Rfam family: Bacterial small subunit ribosomal RNA
Source: RNAcentral
GACGAACGCUGGCGGCGUGCUUAACACAUGCAAGUCGAACGAGUGGCGAACGGGUGAGUAACACGUGGGUGACCUGCCCUGCACUUCGGGAUAAGCCUGGGAAACUGGGUCUAAUAACGGAUAGUGUGGGAUGGGCCCGCGGCCUAUCAGCUUGUUGGGGGGGUAAUGGCUACCAAGGCGCGACGGGUAGCCGGCCUGUGAGGGUGGACGGCCAAAUUGGGACUGAGACACGUCCCAGACUCCUACGGGAGGCAGCAGUGGGGAAUAUUGCACAAUGGGCGGAAGCCUGAUGAAGCGACGCCGCGGGUAUGAAGAAGGCCUUAGGGUUGUAAAGUACUUUCAGCGGGGAGGCGUUACCCGCAGAAGAAGCACCGGCUAACUCCGUGCCAGCAGCCGCGGUAAUUC